CCUACGGGAGGCUGCAGUGGGGAAUAUUGCACAAUGGGGGAAACCCUGAUGCAGCGACGCCGCGUGAGUGAAGAAGUAAUUCGUUAUGUAAAGCUCUAUCAGCAGGGAAGAAAAUGACGGUACCUGAUUAAGAAGCCCCGGCUAACUACGUGCAAGCAGCCGCGGGAAAACGUAGGGGGCAAGCGUUAUCCGGAUUGACUGGGUGUAAGGGGAGCGUAGACGGCAGUGCAAGUCUGGAGUGAAAGGCGGGGGCUCAACCCCCGGACUGCUCUGGAAACUGUACGGCUGGAGUGCAGGAGAGGUAAGUGGAAUUCCUAGUGUAGCGGUGAAAUGCGUAGAUAUUAGGAGGAACACCAGUGGCGAAGGCGGCUUACUGGACUGUAACUGACGUUGAGGCUCGAAAGCGUGGGGAGCAAACAGGAUUAGAUACCCUAGUAGUC
Molecule: ribosomal RNA, 440 nt
Filed under: uncultured bacterium
Lineage: Bacteria
Description: partial 16S ribosomal RNA
Rfam family: Bacterial small subunit ribosomal RNA
Source: RNAcentral